This 93-nucleotide transfer RNA is filed under the name Pyricularia grisea. RNAcentral describes it as "tRNA-Lys". It matches the Rfam family "tRNA". From Rfam's summary of the family: Transfer RNA (tRNA) molecules are approximately 80 nucleotides in length. Their secondary structure includes four short double-helical elements and three loops (D, anti-codon, and T loops). Further hydrogen bonds mediate the characteristic L-shaped molecular structure. tRNAs have two regions of fundamental functional importance: the anti-codon, which is responsible for specific mRNA codon recognition, and the 3' end, to which the tRNAs corresponding amino acid is attached (by aminoacyl-tRNA synthetases). tRNAs cope with the degeneracy of the genetic code in two manners: having more than one tRNA (with a specific anti-codon) for a particular amino acid; and 'wobble' base-pairing, i.e. permitting non-standard base-pairing at the 3rd anti-codon position. Lineage: Eukaryota; Fungi; Ascomycota; Sordariomycetes; Magnaporthales; Pyriculariaceae. The record is from RNAcentral. RNAcentral also lists the same sequence under 2 other names.
GCCCGGCUAGCUCAAUCGGUAGAGCGUGAGACUCUUAAGAAUCUCCGGUUCCGAAACAUCUCAAGGCUGUGGGUUCGACCCCCACGUCGGGCU